GUUUGGGAGACUGAAAUAUACAUAUAUGUGUGCAUAGAGACAUAUAUAUGUAAAGACAUAUGUGUGUCAUAUACAUUUGUACAUAAUGAAUAAGCAUAUUUCACAAGUUUUAGCCUAAUAUGUUUUAGAUGAUAAGUAUGCAUUUAUAUAUAAAUAAUUUGGCAUAUCUCUAUAUAUAAACCUACACUUGAUGUUUCAAUUACAUUUUAACCAUGUCGAUAUAAAUUCCAUAUGUAAGUAGCAAACAGAUGUAUGUCUAGUAUAUGUAUAAUGCACAUACACAGACACACACAUAGACACAUGUGUUCACAAAGUGGUAUACAUGGUUAAACAACGUGAUAUUCUUAUAACCAAUUUUCACAGCAUUUACACUCAAAGGAUUGCAGUCCCCUUCCUACUGCUGCUGUAUGGUAGCUGUGCUUUCAUACUAACAGCUCACUUGGCUGGAAACAAGUAUGAAACUGUUCUGUUCAGGAACUGCCUUUGAAACCAACACUUCCCUCUACCAUCCAGGAACAACUCUUGGCAAAUCUUGGUCCUUUGAGGAUUGACUGAAAAUCUAGAAACUGCCAAAAGCAUUUGAAAUCAAGACAAAUGAAUAUGGCCAAUGGAGAAGCGGUGGACAUUGCUUGGAACUGGUGACUCUGUAUGAUUUUAACAUAAUGAAACUUCAUUUUCUCUGUGGCUUCUAGCCUGUGUCUGCAGUCAGCUCCAAACAGAAUUAUCAACAUGCUUUGAGAUAAUGCAUAUGGAAUCUUUUGGCUACAAAAGAGAGCUCGGCUGUGAAGAGGAGAUGCUGCAAGGCCAAUCAUGCCAAGUUUGAGCUGAGCGUGUGUCUGGACGGAGGUGACAGCUCUGAGGACACCUUGCUUCAGGGAUCCCUCAUUUAGAGGCAGCAUGUGCUCCUGCCACCUUGCACUGUGGCAGCGCCCUGUGCACACAUGGCAGAACAACAGCAUUUAGAUGAACCUGCCAGGCGGUUGUAUUUUCUCAUGCAGAGGCCCAUCACAGCCACGGAGAAAUGCCGCAAUCACACAUUCUGCAGUCCCCAAACACCAAUGAAAGCAAGGAUUGGGCUGGGACAAAAUCAGGAGCCAGAAAAGCAAUCCAGAGGCGAUAUCCAAGCCGAUGUGAACAAUAAGUAGGUAUCCAUCAAGGUUUCAAGAUCUGCUGCCAGAGGAUUGCAGUUGGCAGAGGCCCUGUUGCAAUGAUGAUGCAAUACUCUGUGCAUGACUUCAUCCUGGCACCUAAACUGCGCAAGUGUUAACUGAGCUGGUGCCCGAAACUCAAGGAGAACUAAAACAUAACAUGAUCACACUAAAAGCACUAUGUAUGCUCACAUCUUAUUGGCCAAAAUGUGUCACAUGUCUAAGACCAACGCCAUAAGGCAAGUUGAUUGGGAUGUAUAAUCUCAUUAAAGUAAAGAGUUGGGAAGAAGUAGUCUAACAUAAUAGUUUUAGUAAAGAGAAAAUAAUUUCACAUGGCUGAUUCACCUAGAAUAAAAUGAAUGAAACUGGGAUGAUUCUCCA
This 1529-nucleotide long non-coding RNA is filed under the name Oryctolagus cuniculus (rabbit). RNAcentral describes it as "lncRNA (ENSOCUG00000038880.1)". Lineage: Eukaryota; Metazoa; Chordata; Mammalia; Lagomorpha; Leporidae. The record is from RNAcentral.